GACGAACGCUGGCGGCGUGCUUAACACAUGCAAGUCGUACGGUAAGGCCCUUUCGGGGGUACACGAGUGGCGAACGGGUGAGUAACACGUGAGUAACCUGCCCACAACUUUGGGAUAACGCUAGGAAACUGGUGCUAAUACUGGAUAUGUGCUCCUGCUGCAUGGUGGGGGUUGGAAAGCUCCGGCGGUUGUGGAUGGACUCGCGGCCUAUCAGCUUGUUGGUGGGGUAGUGGCCUACCAAGGCGGCGACGGGUAGCCGGCCUGAGAGGGUGACCGGCCACAUUGGGACUGAGAUACGGCCCAGACUCCUACGGGAGGCAGCAGUGGGGAAUAUUACACAAUGGGCGCAAGCCUGAUGCAGCAACGCCGCGUGCGGGAUGACGGCCUUCGGGUUGUAAACCGCUUUCAGCAGGGACGAAGCUUUUUGUGACGGUACCUGCAGAAGAAGCACCGGCUAACUACGUG
RNAcentral lists this ribosomal RNA (465 nucleotides) under uncultured bacterium. RNAcentral's name for it is "partial 16S ribosomal RNA". It matches the Rfam family "Bacterial small subunit ribosomal RNA", at positions 28 to 507 of the family's 1533-position model. The record is from RNAcentral.